AGCGAACGCUGGCGGCAGGCUUACACAUGCAAGUCGAGCGGGCAUCCUUGUGGUGUCAGCGGCAGACGGGUGAGUAACGCGUGGGAACGUGCCCUUCGGUUCGGAAUAACUCAGGGAAACUUGAGCUAAUACCGGAUACGCCCUUCUGGGGAAAGGCUUGCUGCCGAAGGAUCGGCCCGCGUCUGAUUAGCUGGUUGGUGAGGUUACGGCUCACCAAGGCGACGAUCAGUAGCUGGUCUGAGAGGAUGAUCAGCCACACUGGGACUGAGACACGGCCCAGACUCCUACGGGAGGCAGCAGUGGGGAAUAUUGGACAAUGGGGGCAACCCUGAUCCAGCCAUGCCGCGUGAGUGAUGACGGCCUUAGGGUUGUAAAGCUCUUUUCUCCGGGACGAUAAUGACGGUACCGGAGGAAUAAGCCCCGGCUAACUUCGUG
Molecule: ribosomal RNA, 435 nt
Filed under: uncultured bacterium
Lineage: Bacteria
Description: partial 16S ribosomal RNA
Rfam family: Bacterial small subunit ribosomal RNA
Source: RNAcentral